Panicum virgatum (switchgrass) is the source of this 886-nucleotide long non-coding RNA. RefSeq lists it as uncharacterized. The transcript is spliced from 2 exons. The record is from RefSeq and is a predicted model, not a curated record. NCBI's taxonomy places the organism in Eukaryota, Viridiplantae, Streptophyta, Magnoliopsida, Poales, Poaceae.
GACGGGCCGAGACAUAUUCCACCGCGCCAAGGCCCGAUCGGCUCCCUCGGCUCGUCCACUCAUGGCUCAGCUCGCCAAAUAACUAAACCCUCACGCGAUAGAGCGACCAUCAGAUGCGUCGCACCUCCAUCGCAGAUCCCCUUUCGCAGCCGGCUCUAUCGGCGACCCAAAUCCCCGAUGCAUCGUCCUACUCCGAUCAAUCAAGGAUAGUUGGUUCGUCAGGGCGCACUCUGAUGUUAUGAUGAUGGAAGGAGGCAGGCGGAAGCAGCAGCACGCGCUGCUCCAAUUCCAGUGCGGAUCGGUGCUCUACUUUGACGAAUUUGGCAUCCCCUUCAGGAGCUUGUCAAUCGUCAUCCUGGCGUGGUGGUGGUGGCCGCUGCAGAUGCGGAGGCUCCCCGUCGCCGUCGGUGAUAGCAGUGGUGAACCUGGCGGCAGCUCAGUGGCAUGUGCGGGCAGCACGUACGGUAGCUCCCCAUGCGGCGCCUCGGUGACUACCUCCCUCUCUCGUUGUGACGGUCGCCAUGGCGGCAGCGCACAGAGCUUCCUCACCGAGCUCACGACGUAGUUACCGGCUUACUGCUGGCCCUCUACUGCUACCCGUGGCUCGCGGCGUGCGAGGAUUUGAUGCUGGACAGCAGGAAGCCAGGAACGGUGGCGCGCCUGUGGGCACUUGGCAUCCUCACCGCGGCUGCAUGUCGUGAUUUUUUGCAGAUUAACGGUGAUGCUGAUUUGUAAUGUUUGCAACUAGAGAUGAGGUUGAGAUGCUGUACGCUUUUGCUCAUAUGCUUAUGAGUUCCAGUUCGGACAUAGGCUUCGAUGGAAAUUUUUUUGUGUAAAACUUUUUUUUGGAUGAUUCAUCACGCUUAUAGUAAAUUAUACCAGAUUU